GAUGAACGCUGGCGGCAGGCCUAACACAUGCAAGUCGAGCGAGCGGCGGACGGGUGAGUAAUGUAUGGGGAUCUGCCUGAUAGAGGGGGAUAACUCCUGGAAACGGUGGCUAAUACCGCAUACUAUCGGAUGCACCCAUAUGGGAUUAGCUAGUCGGUGUGGUAACGGCUCACCUAGGCGACGAUCUAUAGCUGGUCUGCGAGGAUGAUCAGCCACACGGGCACUGAGAAACGGCCCAGACGCCUACGUGAGGCAGGAGUGGGGAAUAUUGCACAAUGGGCGCAAGCCUGAUGCAGCCAUGCCGCGUGUAUGAAGAAGGCCUUAGGGUUGUAAAGUACUUUCAGCGGGGAGGCGUUACCCGCAGAAGAAGCACCGGCUAACUCCGUGCCAGCAGCCGCGGGAAUUC
RNAcentral lists this ribosomal RNA (406 nucleotides) under uncultured bacterium. Its description in RNAcentral is "partial 16S ribosomal RNA". It matches the Rfam family "Bacterial small subunit ribosomal RNA", at positions 28 to 526 of the family's 1533-position model. The record is from RNAcentral.